RNAcentral lists this long non-coding RNA (3081 nucleotides) under Sus scrofa (pig). RNAcentral describes it as "lncRNA (ENSSSCG00000055673.1)". The stretch from base 2848 to 2920 matches the Rfam family "tRNA". Lineage: Eukaryota; Metazoa; Chordata; Mammalia; Artiodactyla; Suidae. The record is from RNAcentral.
GGAAUUAGAGAAACAUGGUUAAAUGCUACAAAUUUCCAGUUAUAAGAUAAUUGCUCUGAGGGUAGUGUACAAUGUACUGACUAUGCUUAACAUUAUUGAAUGGUAAUGUUUGACAGUUGUUAAGGGAGUAAAACCUAAGCGUUCUCAUCAGAGUUUUUUGGUUUGGGUUUUUUUCUGUACCUAUAUGAGAUGAUGGAUGUUCACACACUUAUUGUGGUGAUCAUUUCACAAUACACGUUAAUCAAAUCAUUAUGCUGUACAUCCUAAGUUUAUACAGUGCUGUAUGUCAAUUGUAUCUCAAUAAAAAUGGGAAAAAAAUCAAUUGAGAAAAAUGAAAUAGAUAUUUUGAGCCAAAAUGCAAAGGCAUAAGUGUGUAAAAUUUGAGAACGAUAAGAGCUGUCUCAGCAACUCUAUGUAUGCAAAUACAGAUCCAUCAGGUAAUCAGCCCAAGCUGAGUGGUUAGUAGGUACACAGCCCUAGGCUUGACUCUCAUUCAGCAAGGUCUCUAUAAUAAACAGAGAAGCCAGCGACUCGCCAUGAAAUCUCCACUUCAGCCCUGCGUACAUCUGUUGAGUGUCUCCUCUGCUCAAGUGCAGAAGCACACCUUUCCACCCAACCAUUUUAAUAACAAAAUACAUUCUGGGAUUGACUAAAAGUUCUAGUCACUCUCUUGAAGAAAAUUACCAUGGCUCAACAUUAUUCCAAACAUUUAUCUAAUUAAAAUUUUGAUGGCCAAAAAGCACAUGAAAAGAUGCUCAACAUCACCAUUAGUAGAGGAACAUAAAUCAAAACUGCAGUGAGGUAUCAUCUCAUACCAGUCAGUAUGUCCAUCAUCAAAAAGUCUACAAUAAUUUCUAGGGAGGGUAUGGAGAAAAGAGAACCAUUCUACACUGUUGGUGGAAAUGUAAACUGCUACGGCCACUAGAAAAGAGUAUGGAAGGUCCUUACAAAACUAAACAUAAAACCACCAUAUGAUCCAGCAAUCAUAAGGUAUUUUAAACUUAAAACUACUGUAUGAUCUUGGCAUAUAUCUGGAAAAACCAUGAUUCAAAAAGACACAUGCACCCCAAUGUUCAUUGCCACACCAGUAGUUAAGACAUGGAAGGAACCUAAGUGUCCAUCACAGGGAAAUGGGUAAAGAAGAUGUGAUAUAUCUACAAUGGAAUAUUACUUAUCCAUAAAAAAGAAUGAAAUAAAGCCAUUUGCAGCAACAUGACCUAGAGAUUAUCAUACGAAGUACAAUGUCAGACAAGAAAAACAAAUGUCAAUGAUAUCACUUAUAUGUGGAAUCUAAAAAAAUGAUAUAAAUGAACUUAUUUACAAAGCAAAAAGAGAUUCACAGACUUUGAAAACAAACUUAUGGUUACCAAAGGGGAAAGUUGGGGAGGAGGAAAAAAAUAGGAGUUAGUAUUUAACAUGUGCUACACUACUAUAUAUAAAACAUGUAAUAAACAAGGACCUACUGUAUAAUACUGGAAACUAUUCAAUAUUUUUAAUAACCUAUAAUGGAAAAGAAUCUGAAAAAGAAUAGAUAUAUGUGUUUGUAUAACAGAAUCACUUUAAUGUACACCUGAUGCUAAGGCAAGAUUGUGAAUCAACUGUACUCCAACAUAAAAUAAUUUUUUUGUUGUUGUUGUUUUGGGCCACACACAGCAUAUGGAAGUUCCCAAGCUAGGGGUCAAAUCAGAGCUGCAGCUGCCAGCCUAUGCCACAGCCAUAGCCAUGCCAGAUCUUUAACCCACUGAGCGAGGCCAGGGACCAAACCUGGGUCCUCAUGGAUGUUAGUCAGAUUUGUUUCCAUGGAGCCACGUUGGGAACUCCCUAAAAUAAAUUUUUUUAAAGAAAUUUAAAAUAAAAUGUACAUGGGGGGACAAGAAUAAGGGCAUAUUUGUUUGAACAUAGCAUUAUCCAACAUUUUCUAACCACUAUUUGCAAAGCACUAUAACUUAAUAAGAUGGUCUUACAACACAAAUUUCCUAAUAGUCUCAGAAAAGUGUGAGCAAAUCCCAGAGAACCAUCAGGAUUUCUCAAAUAGACAGGGCCAUUUUAAACUGAAUGAACAUCUAAUGUAGAUACUAUUUUUAUCCCCAGGUUAUUGAUGAGAAAACAGGUGCAAGGAGGGGUAAUUAUCUUUCCCAAGGUCAUAACUUGCUUACUUUACAUAAGAUGUGACAGCUUGAACAAGUCCUGUAGCCCUCCUCAUCUUUAGGAAUAUUUUUUAUUUAAAAAAUGUGAUAGAUUUAACUGAAUAAAGGACCAAGAAUGUAAAAGCCUUCGAUGGAAGCAGACAGUCCCCCUCCCUCUCAUUCAAAGACCCAUGGGAGAAAAGAGCGCAACCUGGAAAACACAUUCAACUAAUCUUUCAAUAGCUUUUGCAAAACAUCAGCAGCCCUUCCUCCCUAUCACUGAACAACUGGCUGAGACUGACUCAGAGUUCUUGGCUGUCUCUGUUGUGGGAUGGAAUCAUAUUUCUUUAAAACAGAAAUUUGAGUGAGUGAAGGAGAGAUGCACUCUAACCUCUAACUAAGAAAGAAAGGCUUGCCUGUAAUGCCAGGAAUCUGAAAAACAAACAGGAUGAGUUUGCGUAUUGAUUGGAUGAGCACAAUUCUAGCAAAUAGGAGGGAAAAUUCCCCAAAAGAGGGCAAAAAUCAGUUUUUUAAUCAUCCAAGCUCAGUGCACAGCUUUGGCAGGCUCUAACAAGUUCAUGAGACAUGGGAAUCACAGAUAGCGUACUUGAAGGUGCAAGCAGUGAGGAUGGUCAAACAACCAGACUAAAAACACCACAAUAUUAGAAGAGACAGAGCCUAAGACAAUGAGAAAAGAGAUGAAGAAGAGGAUGGCAGAAAUUCCCUGGUGGCCUAGCAGUUAAAGAUUCAGCAUUGUCACUGCUGUGGCUCGGGUUCCAUCCCUGGCCUGGGAAUUUGAUGUCAGUCAAAUGUAAAAUACCCACUUAUAAGACCAUCUUAUUAAGUGAUAGUGCUUUGCAAAUAGUUGUUAUAAAAUGUUAGAUAAUCCUAUGUUCCUUUUCUUUUCCAAUAAACAGAAGACAUCAGGAGUCAUUUUAUAUGCAAAGGGUCACAC